CGUGAGCAAUUUAUGUUAUUUGAAGCCUGAGCUUUCUAAGCUUUUUUUGUUUGUUUGUUUUUAAAUUAAAGGUUAGUUAAUUCUGGAAUAUUUUCUACCUCUAAUUUUUCAAGGACAUAGAAAGACUAUCAUUCCACCAAUAACAAUCUUUAAAAAAAAAACAACUAUCUUUUUAGUUUUUUUUUUUAAUCUUUAAAUGCUAUUGAGAUAUUUGUAGGGUGCAGUCAGGUAUAAUUCCAUAAUGAUUUCAAUCUUAAAAAUGAGAUGCCAAAAAAAUUCAUUGUUUUAGCACUCCCAAAUCAGAUGAAUAUUUAGUCAACUAAACAUCAUCUGAAUGUUUUCUUAAAUGCAGGUCCAUUAUUCUAUCUAACGCUAACAUCAAAACUCAUUUCACUGAUAUAAAACUACUGUUCUGUAUCUUCAAUAAUUUCCUUUAGCACUGAGAGAAGUGAUUUUCCUAUUGUAAAAUUUAAAUCAAUAUCAAUAACUCCCGGUUCUUAUUUUUCCAGAGUUUUAUUAAUAAUCACUAAAGAUAGAGAAAGCAGAUUAUAGCCUAAUGUAAUCUAACUAACCACCUGUGUGAACUCUCUCGCCUGGCUCCCAGCCAGGUUCUCUAGCCACAUUCCAGGAAGUAGAGAGAGGGGGCGGGCCACACAGAAACUUUUAUCCUCUGUCCCUCCCCUCACGCAUGUGCGUGCCCCUCUGUUCACGCAGCGUAAGCACACAAACGGUAUGCUGCGUCAGUCGGUAGGGGUCCAAGGAGCCUUGCGGAGUGAAUUCCAUCUACACACUACCAGAACACAACUUUUACGUUUUAGAGGUUUCUUAUACAUAUUUAUUGAAUUACAGAAGACAGAAGCAAGGCUGUAAAGAAGGCAAGCAGGAAGGAAGGUGAGAGGGAGGGAGGGAGGGAGGAACAUUUCUUAAUUUUUUACAACACAUAAAAUACCAUGCUAAGAUCUAUAAGUGUAAAGAGAGAAAAUAUUCUCAAAGAGCUCACUUUCUAAUAGGUAGAAACAACAGAAAUAAUUUCAACUUCAAGUCAAAUGUGUCAUUGCCAUGGAUAACAAUAUCCAUUUUUAUACUGAACCAUUUGCUAGUCCUACAGAUACAGUAGUGAAUGUUUUUUUUUCCCCCUGUCUUAUGACAGUUUCGUAAAUAGAGAAUGGAUAUAUAUGCUGAGAGGCUUUCCAGAUUGAGCAAUUGGAAGCAGGGACAAGCCUAGUUGAUUGUCAGCUUGAAUUAUUAACCAAACGACCUGUUCUAUAACUAAUCUAAAUGGGCAAGAAUUUCCUGUAGUUGAAUAAUUGUUGGAAAGAAUUCCUUUGACUUUUAAAUUUCUACCAAAUCUCUAUGUCUCUUAAAAGAGCUGGUAUAUUGGAAAACAUUAUGUUUAAGAAAUAUUAAGGCUGAUAGAACUAAAAGAAAUAUCUUUCAGUUCAGAAGGAUGGCUUA
RNAcentral lists this long non-coding RNA (1455 nucleotides) under Monodelphis domestica (gray short-tailed opossum). Its description in RNAcentral is "lncRNA (ENSMODG00000046730.1)". Lineage: Eukaryota; Metazoa; Chordata; Mammalia; Didelphimorphia; Didelphidae. The record is from RNAcentral.